CUACCCCACCACUGCGCCCGGCUCCCACCCCAGUCCCCGCCGCUCCCCGAAGCUCCCACUCUCUCCCACAGUCCGCCCCCUCCCGCGCCCUUUCUGCCUCUGGCGUUUGGCUCCCUCCUUGCGCCCCCGCUCCGCCGGCAUCCUCUCCACCUCCAGUGCCCAGGUUCCCUGCCGAGCCGAGCGCGUGUUCGCCUUAGCGGGGAGGGGGCCUCGGCGUUCCCUGCCGAGCGCCGGAGCGCCUCGGACAGUCUGUCCGCUGGGGUUGGAGGAGUUCGGCUGCCGGGUUGUUUCUCGGAUCCGGCAGCCUUGCAGAGUGUGUUGUAAAACCCCUCCCCCGUCAAGAGGGGACCCAGCCAGCCUGCGUCCUGCCAGCUCGGGGGACCGGAGGCGGGUGUCAGUGGUUAGAGGAAAACUUUCCAGCAGAGCGCCUUGCCGCCUUGCCGGAGCAAACCUGGCAUCUGUCAAGAACGCUCUCUGUGCGCUCUUCCUGCAAGGAGCUUCUGUUCCAGUGCAGUAGACGCAGAAGGCAAGCGAAGGUUUGUGCAUCUGAACAGCUAACGCUGAGGACCAGUUGGAAAAUCACAGGCUCCUCAGCCCCAGCUAAUUACUACCUCCAGCAGCACCGCUAUAGGCCGCGGCAUAAAGCAGAAAACGCUUCGUUUUAUGCAAAACCGAGGGUGGCAAAGAAGGCAGCUUCCAACGAGUGGAAAUUGGAUAAUUGAAUCAAUGUGUUCUUUUUUAAAAGCGAGAGGAUGUAGUAAAGUAUCUAAUUUGGACUGAGGGCAAGCAGAAUGGCUUCUCAUGUUUCACACUAAAGAUGGCCCCCCAGCUGAGGGGUGUUCCUGGGAAAGAUGAAUGCCACUGGAAGCGGAAAUUCUUGGCAAUAAGAAAAAAAAAACUGCCCGGUGCAGACGCGUGCCCCACCCAAGCAGCUCCCAGCUUCAGGGGAUCCAGCGAGCGUCUGAGUCCCACUGCCUGGGAUCACAGGAGGGCAGGCCCGCAGCCCCCCCCACCCCCAACCCCAGAGGCAGGUGCAGCCCCUUCCUCUCCCCUGGGCCAGGGCUCCAUUCACAGCGGCUGCACCCGCAGCCACUUUUGUUGAUUUGAAUCAGGGAAGACCAGGCAAGCUGUGCAAGACCUUGGCAUCUUGGAAUCCGCAAGUGAGGAAGGCUUGAAGCCACACGACCCA
RNAcentral lists this long non-coding RNA (1189 nucleotides) under Lynx canadensis (Canada lynx). RNAcentral describes it as "lncRNA (ENSLCNG00005012526.1)". Lineage: Eukaryota; Metazoa; Chordata; Mammalia; Carnivora; Felidae. The record is from RNAcentral.